RNAcentral lists this ribosomal RNA (253 nucleotides) under uncultured bacterium. Its description in RNAcentral is "partial 16S ribosomal RNA". It matches the Rfam family "Bacterial small subunit ribosomal RNA", at positions 524 to 776 of the family's 1533-position model. The record is from RNAcentral.
UACGUAGGGGGCUAGCGUUGUCCGGAAUCAUUGGGCGUAAAGAGCGUGUAGGCGGCCCGGUAAGUCCGCUGUGAAAGUCGGGGGCUCAACCCUCGAAUGCCGGUGGAUACUGUCGGGCUAGAGUCCGGAAGAGGCGAGUGGAAUUCCCGGUGUAGCGGUGAAAUGCGCAGAUAUCGGGAGGAACACCAAUGGCGAAGGCAGCUCGCUGGGACGGUACUGACGCUGAGACGCGAAAGCGUGGGGAGCAAACAGG